This 361-nucleotide unclassified non-coding RNA is filed under the name uncultured fungus. Its description in RNAcentral is "partial contains small subunit ribosomal RNA, internal transcribed spacer 1, and 5.8S ribosomal RNA". The stretch from base 1 to 73 matches the Rfam family "Eukaryotic small subunit ribosomal RNA", at positions 1759 to 1831 of the family's 1831-position model. Lineage: Eukaryota; Fungi. The record is from RNAcentral.
GCAAACUUGGUCAUUUAGAGGAAGUAAAAGUCGUAACAAGGUCAUCGUAGGUGAACCUGCGGUGGGAUCAUUAUCUGAACCUUUUAAACAUUGUGAGAAAUACUUGGGAAUUGGGUGAGCGGUCAGCGCUUGAGUGGUGUGCUAUGAUUGUGCGGUCAGUACUUGAGUAGUGCGCUAUGAUUGCGCUGAGCGCCGCUCGCUGCAGCGUGGUCGUUGUUUACCUUCGGCCGCCUGCUCUUAUAAACUAUGUUGGUUUGAAUAUUAAAGAUAGACUGUACGAAUUAUCUGCUCGAAAGAGCUAUUAACUUAUACAACUAUCAAUGGUGGAUCACUUGGCUCUUGCAUCGAUGAAGAACGCAGC